GUGGUAGGAGAGCGUUCUAUUCAGCGUUGAAGGUAUACCGGUAAGGAGUGCUGGAGCGGAUAGAAGUGAGCAUGCAGGCAUGAGUAGCGAUAAAAGGGGUGAGAAUCCCCUUCGCCGUAAACCCAAGGUUUCCUACGCGAUGCUCGUCAUCGUAGGGUUAGUCGGGUCCUAAGCAAAGUCCAAAAGGGGUAUGCGAUGGAAAAUCGGUUAAUAUUCCGAUACCAAUAUUAGUGUGCGAUGGAAGGACGCUUAAAGUUAGUGGAGCUAGCGGAUGGAAGUGCUAGUCUAAGGAUGUAGAUUAAGUGGUAGGCAAAUCCGCCACUUUUUAUUCGAGAUCUUAAAGGCUCUCCAAAGUCUUCGGAUAGCGGGGAGAAUCCAUGAUACUAUCGAGCCAAGAAAAGUUUCUAAGUUUAGCUAAUAUUGCCCGUACCGUAAACCGACACAGGUGGGUGGGAUGAGUAUUCUAAGGCGCGUGGAAGAACUCUCUUUAAGGAACUCUGCAAAAUAGCACCGUAUCUUCGGUAUAAGGUGUGCCUAACUUUGUAUUAAGAUUCACUCCCAAAGCAAAGAAGGUUACAACAAAGAGUCCCUCCCGACUGUUUACCAUAAACACAGCACUCUGCUAACACGUAAGUGGAUGUAUAGGGUGUGACGCCUGCCCGGUGCUCGAAGGUUAAUUGAUGGGGUUAGCAUUAGCGAAGCUCUUGAUCGAAGCCCGAGUAAACGGCGGCCGUAACUAUAACGGUCCUAAGGUAGCGAAAUUCCUUGUCGGUUAAAUACCGACCUGCAUGAAUGGCGUAACGAGAUGGGAGCUGUCUCAAAGAGGGAUCCAGUGAAAUUGUAGUGGAGGUGAAAAUUCCUCCUACCCGCGGCAAGACGGAAAGACCCCGUGGACCUUUACUACAGCUUGACACUGCUAUUUGGAUAAAGAUGCGCAGGAUAGGUGGGAGGCUUUGAUCCAUAGACUCCGGUUUAUGGUGAGCCAUUGUUGAGAUACCACUCUUCUUUAUUUGAGUAGCUAACUAGCUUGCGUUAUCCGCAAGUAGGACAAUGUCUGGUGGGUAGUUUGACUGGGGCGGUCGCCUCCCAAAAUGUAACGGAGGCUUACAAAGGUUGGCUCAGAACGGUUGGAAAUCGUUCGUAGAGUAUAAAGGCAUAAGCCAGCUUAACUGCAAGACAUACACGUCAAGCAGAGACGAAAGUCGGUCUUAGUGAUCCGGUGGUUCUGUGUGGAAGGGCCAUCGCUCAAAGGAUAAAAGGUACCCCGGGGAUAACAGGCUGAUCUCCCCCAAGAGCUCACAUCGACGGGGAGGUUUGGCACCUCGAUGUCGGCUCAUCGCAUCCUGGGGCUGGAGCAGGUCCCAAGGGUAUGGCUGUUCGCCAUUUAAAGCGGUACGCGAGCUGGGUUCAGAACGUCGUGAGACAGUUCGGUCCCUAUCUGCCGUGGGCGUAAGAAGAUUGAGGAGAGUUGACCCUAGUACGAGAGGACCGGGUUGAACCAGCCACUGGUGUAUCAGUUGUUCUGCCAAGAGCAUCGCUGAGUAGCUAAGCUGGGAUGUGAUAAGAGCUGAAAGCAUCUAAGCUCGAAGCCAACUCCAAGAUGAAUCUUCUUUUAAGAGCUCUAGUAGACUACUAGUUUGAUAGGCUGGGUGUGUAAGUGAUGAGAGUCAUUUAGCUGACCAGUACUAAUAGCUCGUUUGCUUAUCUUUAU
RNAcentral lists this ribosomal RNA (1711 nucleotides) under Campylobacter hyointestinalis subsp. lawsonii. RNAcentral's name for it is "bacterial LSU rRNA". It matches the Rfam family "Bacterial large subunit ribosomal RNA", at positions 1225 to 2925 of the family's 2925-position model. The record is from RNAcentral. Lineage: Bacteria; Pseudomonadati; Campylobacterota; Epsilonproteobacteria; Campylobacterales; Campylobacteraceae.